UAAUUUUCAUUGCACAUUUCUAGGAAGAGGGAGGAGGAGGAGGGAGAAUGUGACAGUCUCAACAACAGUAGCUACACUCUUAUGGAAGUGGUUUUCCUAUGUGCUUCUCAACAGAUCGGCCCUUUCUUCAAAUAAGAGCAGUUGGAACAACAAAAGCUGUUUAGUUGUACCCUUGGAAUCCACGGAAAUCCUGGGUAGGGAGGCUCCGGUACCACCAACUGGAAAGACUGCGGAUGCCUAGUAGCUGGUACUGGCAGUUGUCGUAGGCUUUGUCCACUUUGACAAACUGAAGACGGAGACUCGACUCACCUUCGCCAGCCACGGGAGGACCUCCAGACGAGGUUAGGUCGACUUCAUGGUAACUUUAGAUCCUGAAACCUCACAGGAUUUUUCUUCUCUUCCCUUUGAUCUCUCUUCCGCUUACUCAACAGAACGGGACUCGCCACCUUUCUUUCCCGUCAGAAAGGGAUCCCUUGCGGACAGGACCGAAGUGAGUAGCUGCUUUCCCCUACGUGUCCUUCUGGGCCUGGGUGUCUCGGGAGCUGAGGCUGACCGGAGACCUAAUUACCGGCGAGUGGGACCAGCAGGAGCCUGGAGGGGCGCGCACCGGGGUGGAGGUUUGGCGCCGGGGGUCGAGAACAGCAGUCAAACCCUCUUCUUCCCCGCGCAGCGCGCACCUGCUCCCCCUCCCCAUGCCGAAGGAAGUGGCCCCUAAGGCUUCUCUGCAGACCCAACGGAAACAGGCCUGAAGCUCCAGGAGGGCGAGGGGAUCCUCUUUGAGCGAAACCAGCCUUCUGCCUGGCUGGCCCUGGUCAACAAACUCGGAAGAGGCCGACUUGGCGGACAGAACGGAAGAAAAGACCUAAAGGUAGAAUCUCAUGAUGUCGAGAUGUUAAAACCCUCCAAUUUUAAGGUCCGACUGUGCGGGGGAGCGAGGGGGUCUCGAGCUGGAUCGAUCCCUGAGCCUUCAUCUGGAGAGUCCUCUGCACAAGCUCAGAGGGCAGGACUAUGAGCACCAGUGGUUCUCAAUAGGCGGCAACUUCACCCUCAGACUACUCCCCCAUCCCCGCUGGGACACUAGGCCAGACUAGGGGAAGCCCGGAGGGAGAAUGUUAACCCCUGGCAUCCAUCUAGUCAGCGGACGCGAGGGAUGCUGCUAAACACCUUACAAUCCACCGGAGGGCCCCUCCCCCACCCCUAAGUGGCCAUUCCGCCGAGGUGGAGAAAUUCGCGUGUAGAUCAAUGCCCACGCACUUGGCCGACGGGAAAUCACGAAUUGGUGACCAAUUGGAUUUUGGAUUUGAGGAAAAAACUCCAGCGUCAGAGGGAACUCUAGGAGUUUUGCCCGGAGCAUAAGGAAGGGUAGCGUUGCCGUCGCCUAAGAUGGGAAAAUGGCAGGUGUCGCAGGUUGCAGGGGAAGGUCAGAGAGCAGUUGAGGGCCCCGGAGCCCCCCUGGAAAGUUUUCCAUCCAGCUCGUCUCGGUUUCCACAUCCGUGUGAGUCCUUUAUGAUGUCGGGGUUGCCAAGGUCUGAGUCCUUUAUGAUGUGCGGGGUGCCCCGUUCUCACCCCGGGAGCCUCCUCGCUCCUGCCUGCUCUGGCUACCCGGUGCGCGACUCUGGCCCCGGCCACCAGCGACUGUUUCUCCACGCGCUGCCGCUUCGCAAAGGCACAUUUCUAGGCAAUCUGAAGGCAAAUCCUAUUUAGACCCAGGCAAAGGUUCCUGGUGACCCAGGCUCUCACCAGCUGAUUGUCCCUUACCGUCCUCCUGAGGGUGUCUGGAGCUUCAGUGCUGUGUGCUCUUGGCCGCCACCCUUGGGGUGCCACCGACUCCCACUGUCCAGGGCUUCCAGUGGACUCUCCGAGGCACUGACGUAGAAACUUCCUCAUUCAGUGCACCAAGAGCAGCCUCACAUGGUGUGGGCCGACAUGAAGAGCUGCUAGAUCCAACAGAAAUGUGACUGAUAACAGUAAAGCCACACUCUUCGCAUGCCUGAAAUAGCCCUCAAUGUCUUCUUCAGGUGGCAAGGGCUCUGGAACAGCCACAUAAAGUGUCCACAGAUCAGAAGUUCAGGCCUGGAUUAGCUGAGUCUUCUUCUCAGGGCCUCACAGGCUGAAAUUAGGCUGGGUUUCUUUCUGGAGGGUCUGGGGAAGAACUUCCUCUCAAGUUUCCUCAGGUUGUCAGCUGAGUUCAGUUCCUUGUGACUGCAGGACUGAGAUCUCUGUUUUCUUGCUGGCUGUCAGCCAGGGACCUCUUGCUGCUCCUAGAGGCCUCCCACGUUCCCACUGCAUGCUUUCUCCAUCCAGCAGAGGAGAAUCACCCUGCCUGGAAACCCUCCUGCACUUCACAUUUCUCCAGGAAGACCUCAGUCCCUCCAAGGAACUCACCUUCUUUAGGUCAAGCUCAUAAGAUAUCUCCCUGUCUUAGAUUCGACUGAUUUGGGAUCUCGAUUACAUCUGCUAACGUUUUUGCCAUAAAUUGUAACACAAUCACAGGAGUGAUAUCUCAUCGCUGGCUUUGUCUACACUUAGGAAGAAGUGAUUAUAUAAGAGCAAAGAUCACUGCAGCUCAUCUUAGGAUUCUGUCUACCAUAAUACUAUAAAGACACAGUAAUUAAAAGACUAUAACAGAUUUCUACUUCUAUCUGUUAGAAUAAAUCAUAUCAGACUGCCUCCAUAAACAAACAUAAAAUUGUUUUCAGACAGUGAACAACAGGCAGUACAACAGGAAACUUAAGGUGGAAGCCCCAUGAUUUCCUAGUUUUUGUCUGGGGAGAAUUUCUCAGCAGCUGCACAGUAGGCUAGAGUCCUCUCAGAGCAGGGCAUCCCCACUGAGCUGAGAAGGCAGAGAUCAGAGUUCAAGGCCACUGAAGAAAUUCCAAUCUGCAGGGCAGGGCACCAAUAGGAGACAGCUGUUCAGAGGGGCAGCUCUCGAAGUCCAUGUGGGGUUCCAUGUGCAUACUUAUCAAGGACUGGACUGUACCUGCACAAGAAAAAGACUAACAGAUUUAACAUAGGAGUGGCUGCUAUAAAGUUGAGUUUGGACCAGAAGUACUUGUGGUGGAAGAGGGUUGGGGAAUGGAUGAUGGAGUUCCUGCCAUCCAGGGUGGGAAGAACUCAUGCACACCUCAUUAGCAUCCAGGUAUCCAAUUGAGACACUAGAAAGGCUGUGCUUUAGGAAUAAGUGUCACACUUUACAAUAAGGCCUAUUCUAGACCAGCCCUAGUAAAGCCUAAAACCAAACCCUGACAACAUCCACAAAGGGAUGGAUUGGUGAUUGAGUCCUACCAAAUUAGAGAGUCUUGGGAAAUGCUGUUGGCUUUCCAUGAAUCCACUGUAAUAAAACAUAAACCAAGUCCACAUAAGUCCAAUGUGAUCAGACAGUAAUUUUAAUGCCCACUAGAACAAAAUUAAUUCACACAAUCAAUGACACAAGUUAGCCAAGUCGACAUUUAAGCAAAAUACAUCUAAGAACAGCUAACAAAUAACUCUUCUCAAACUCACAUAGAACAUUCACCAAGAUAGACCACAUAUGCUGAGACAUACUUAGUAUUUUCUGUCCUUUCUUUUUGGCUCAUGCAUACUGUGCUCAAACUCUUAAAAUUAUACACUUUAAUUAUACACUUUAGUGAUUAUACACUUUAAUGCAUCUCAAUUGCAUGUAAGUUAUAUUUCAAUAUAUUUGUUAAAAGUUUAUAAUUAAAAAAACUGUCCUAGCUUGAUUCAAGAAAUCUUUUUUAUAUUUAAAAAGUAUAAUUUUAUAUAUUAUCAGGGCAAAAGAGAAAAACUGUAUGAUUGCCUCAUCAUACACAGUAAAAGCAUUUGGCAAAAUUGAAAACUUUUUUCAUGAUUUAUAAAAACAAACCCCAGAAAACUCUCAGCAUGAUAAGAACAGAAGGCAACACUUCCAACCCCAUUAAGGGCAGAUUUGAAAAACCCACAGGUAACAUUAUAUUAAAUGGCAUAAGAUUGAAUGCUUUUCCAUUAAAUCAGAGAAAAAAGUAGAAUAUCUAUUGUUACUCUUUCAAUUCAGCAUUAUACUGGAGCUCUAAAUCAAUGCAAUAAAGUAAGAAAAAUAAAUAAAAGUAUUGAAAAGGUU
Pan troglodytes (chimpanzee) is the source of this 4096-nucleotide long non-coding RNA. RefSeq lists it as uncharacterized. NCBI's taxonomy places the organism in Eukaryota, Metazoa, Chordata, Mammalia, Primates, Hominidae. The record is from RefSeq and is a predicted model, not a curated record. The transcript has 4 exons.